RNAcentral lists this long non-coding RNA (400 nucleotides) under Mytilus galloprovincialis (Mediterranean mussel). Lineage: Eukaryota; Metazoa; Mollusca; Bivalvia; Mytilida; Mytilidae. The record is from RNAcentral.
CGCUGUCAAUUUGUGUUAAAAUUUUAACGUCGAUAUCAAUAAAUAUUUCAUUGUUUACGAGAAAUAUGCAAUUUACUAUCAUUGUUAUAAAUCCUAAAUAUGGCCAAUUAUAUUAUAGUUCAAAACAAGAGGCUGUCACAACGACAGCAAACCGGAUUUAUUAAUAUUCAUUUGUGUCCUGGCAAUAUCACAAGAACCAUUACUGAUGAAUGGUGAAAGUGAAAAUCAUCAAUAUCAAAUUUGACCUCCAUUUUGUCAUCAGUAUCAAACAUCUUAAAAUUUGAAAAGCUUAGAUGAUGGUUCAUGAGUAAAUGCAACAACGUGAAUGGAAACGCCAUUUCACAAUCUUUCAAGAACCAUAACUCCUGAACGGUAAAAGUCAAAAUCGUCAUUAUUGAAC